AAGGGUAUAGCUCAGUGGUAGAGCGCAUGCUUAGCAUGCAUGAGGUCCUGGGUUCAAUCCCCAGUACCUCCA
Molecule: transfer RNA, 72 nt
Filed under: Camelus bactrianus (Bactrian camel)
Lineage: Eukaryota; Metazoa; Chordata; Mammalia; Artiodactyla; Camelidae
Also listed under: 2 other names
Rfam family: tRNA
About the family: Transfer RNA (tRNA) molecules are approximately 80 nucleotides in length. Their secondary structure includes four short double-helical elements and three loops (D, anti-codon, and T loops).
Source: Rfam by way of RNAcentral